Molecule: microRNA precursor, 80 nt
Organism: Cavia porcellus (domestic guinea pig)
Lineage: Eukaryota; Metazoa; Chordata; Mammalia; Rodentia; Caviidae
Rfam family: mir-203 microRNA precursor family
Source: Rfam
GCCCGCCGGGUCCAGUGGUUCUUAACAGUUCAACAGUUCUGUAGGGCAAUUGUGAAAUGUUUAGGACCACUAGACCCGGC